AACAGAAAAUCUUGAGAAAAUACCCACCAUUCUUUUAGAAGCAAAAGGGUAUUCCGAUAUCAAUUUUGCUGCACAAUAACAGAUCAGAGUCUCUUUAUCUCUCCCUCUUUCUCUCUCAAAAACUGUACGUAUACACAGAAACAGAAAAUUAUUAAAACAGAUGUUUGAUAAUGAUGAACUAAUCUCUCUCUCUCUCUCUCUCUCUCUCUCUCUCUCUUUCUCAAUAGAAAAACAUAGAAAAAGAAGAUGAUAAGGCGGUUUAGGCUUGCUUGGCGCAAUGAGUUUUGUCUGGCGUGUGGAAUCUGAGUGUUUUUUCGUAGCAAAAUAAAAUGUAUAGUUUUGUGCCGAGAAUAGAUAGAUUAAAAAAGAUUUUGUGUGAG
RNAcentral lists this unclassified non-coding RNA (380 nucleotides) under Hevea brasiliensis (rubber tree). Lineage: Eukaryota; Viridiplantae; Streptophyta; Magnoliopsida; Malpighiales; Euphorbiaceae. The record is from RNAcentral.